This 231-nucleotide unclassified non-coding RNA is filed under the name uncultured fungus. Its description in RNAcentral is "sequence contains ITS1, 5.8S rRNA gene". Lineage: Eukaryota; Fungi. The record is from RNAcentral.
UUUCCGUAGGUAUGUAUACGUCGAAACCCGAUUCAUUAGAGUUAAUGCUAACAUGUCCAAGGUGAACCUGCGGAAGGAUCAUUACCGAGAAGUUUUGGGUAAACCGAAACACUCUUCACCCUUGCUUAAACGUCAAAGUUGCUUCGGCAGGCCUACAGUCGGCGCAAGCGGGCUAGCUCCUGCCGAAGGUUUACACUCAGUUACCUUUUUUACGUCUCAAAAAAUAAACAA